This is a non-coding RNA of Thamnophis sirtalis, 249 nucleotides long. The record is from RefSeq and is a predicted model, not a curated record. NCBI's taxonomy places the organism in Eukaryota, Metazoa, Chordata, Lepidosauria, Squamata, Natricidae.
AUGCAAUUAAAAACCAGAGUUCAGAAUUCCUGCUGUUGUCCUUUUCUACUCUCACAAGGAAAACAUAUGAUGGUGGUGAUGAUGAUGAUGAUGAUUUUGUGCUGGUGGCUGCACAUUAAACAUCUUCAUGAGAAAUGUUCAGGAUUCCCUCCUCCCCCCCACCCGCAUCCUGAUCUCUGAGGCGUGCGACAAGGUUGCUCAAUAGCGCCUGUAUUGUUCAAUCUGGUCAUCGAUUGGAUACUAAAACAA